Molecule: ribosomal RNA, 468 nt
Filed under: uncultured bacterium
Lineage: Bacteria
Description: partial 16S ribosomal RNA
Rfam family: Bacterial small subunit ribosomal RNA
Source: RNAcentral
GACGAACGCUGGCGGCGUGCUUAACACAUGCAAGUCGAACGGAAAGGCCCUGCUUUUGUGGGGUUCUCGAUUGGCGAAGGGGUGAGUAACACGUGAGGAUCCUGCCCUUGACUGUGGGAUAACUUCACGAAACUGGGGCUAAUACCGGGGAGGAGCUCCUGCUGCGUGGUGGGGGUUGGUAAGUGUCGGUGGUUGGGGAUGGUUUGGCGGCUUAUCAGCUUGUUUGGGGGGUAGUUGAGUACCAGGGCUUUGACGGGUAGCCGGCCUGGGAGGGGGAACGGCGACAUGGGUACUACGGUACGGAGCAGAAUGCUACGGGAGGCAGCGGUGGAGAAUAUUGCGCAGUGGGCGGAAGCGUGAUACAGCAGCCCCGGGUGCGGAAUGACGGCCUUCGGGUUGUGAACCGCUUUCGCCUGUGACGAAGAGUGAGUGACGGUACUGGGUAAAGAAGCACCGGCUAACUACGUG